This 253-nucleotide ribosomal RNA is filed under the name uncultured bacterium. RNAcentral's name for it is "partial 16S ribosomal RNA". It matches the Rfam family "Bacterial small subunit ribosomal RNA", at positions 524 to 776 of the family's 1533-position model. The record is from RNAcentral.
GACGUAGGGCGCGAGCGUUGUCCGGAUUUAUUGGGCGUAAAGAGCUCGUAGGCGGCUCGUUGCGUCGGCUGUGAAAACCCGCAGCUCAACUGUGGGCUUGCAGCCGAUACGGGCGGGCUGGGAUUCGGUAGGGGAGACUGGAAUUCCUGGUGUAGCGGUGGAAUGCGCAGAUAUCAGGAGGAACACCGGUGGCGAAGGCGGGUCUCUGGGCAGUAACUGACGCUGAGGAGCGAAGGCGUGGGGAGCGAACAGG